This 279-nucleotide ribosomal RNA is filed under the name uncultured bacterium. RNAcentral describes it as "partial 16S ribosomal RNA". It matches the Rfam family "Bacterial small subunit ribosomal RNA", at positions 506 to 784 of the family's 1533-position model. The record is from RNAcentral.
UGCCAGCCGCCGCGGUAAUACGGAGGGCGCGAACGUUGCUCGGAAUUAUUGGGCGUAAAGCGCGCGUAGGCGGCUUUUUAAGUCGGAUGUGAAAGCCCUCGGCUUAACCGAGGAAGUGCAUUCGAAACUGAAAAGCUUGAAUAUGGGAGAGGAUAGCGGAAUUCCCGGUGUAGAGGCGAAAUUCGUAGAUAUCGGGAGGAACACCAGUGGCGAAGGCGGCUGUCUGGACCAAUAUUGACGCUGAGGUGCGAAAGCGUGGGGAGCAAACAGGAUUAGAUA